GAUGAACGCUGGCGGCGUGCCUAAUACAUGCAAGUCGAGCGAACAGACGAGGAGCUUGCUCCUCUGACGGUAGCGGCGGACGGGUGAGUAACACGUGGAUAACCUACCUAUAAGACUGGGAUAACUUCGGGAAACCGGAGCGAAUACCGGAUAAUAUAUUGAACCGCAUGGUUCAAUAGUGAAAGACGGUUUUGCUGUCACUUAUAGAUGGAUCCGCGCCGCAUUAGCUAGUUGGUAAGGUAACGGCUUACCAAGGCGGCGAUGCGUAGCCGACCUGAGAGGGUGAUCGGCCACACUGGAGCUGCGACACGGUCCAGACUCCUACGGGAGGCAGCAGUAGGGAAUCUUCCGCAAUAGGCGAAAGCCUGCCGGAGCAACGCCGCGUGAGUGAUGAAGGUCUUCGGAUCGUUAAACUCUGUUAUUAGGGAAGAACAAAUGUGUAAGUAACUAUGCACGUCUUGACGGUACCUAGUCAGAAAGCCACGGCUAACUACGUG
RNAcentral lists this ribosomal RNA (497 nucleotides) under uncultured bacterium. RNAcentral's name for it is "partial 16S ribosomal RNA". It matches the Rfam family "Bacterial small subunit ribosomal RNA", at positions 28 to 507 of the family's 1533-position model. The record is from RNAcentral.